GACGAACGCUGGCGGCGUGCUUAACACAUGCAAGUCGAACGGUAAGGCCCUUCGGGGUACACGAGUGGCGAACGGGUGAGUAACACGUGGGUGAUCUGCCCUGCACUUCGGGAUAAGCCUGGGAAACUGGGUCUAAUACCGGAUAGGACCACUGCCUGCAUGGGUGGUGGUGGAAAGCUUUUGCGGUGUGGGAUGGGCCCGCGGCCUCUCAGCUUGUUGGUGGGGUGGUGGCCUACCAAGGCGAAGACGGGUAGCCGGCCUGAGAGGGUGAGCGUCCACACUGGGACUGAGAUACGGCCCAGACUCCUACGUGAGGCAGCAGGUGGGCAUAUUGCACAAUGGGCGCAAGCCUGAUGCAGCGACGCCGCGUGAGGGAUGACGGCCUUCGGGUUGUAAACCUCUUUCAGCACCGACGAAGCGCAAGUGACGGUAGGUGCAGAAGAAGGACCGGCCAACUACGUGCCAGCCGCCGCGGUAA
RNAcentral lists this ribosomal RNA (478 nucleotides) under uncultured bacterium. Its description in RNAcentral is "partial 16S ribosomal RNA". It matches the Rfam family "Bacterial small subunit ribosomal RNA", at positions 28 to 523 of the family's 1533-position model. The record is from RNAcentral.